RNAcentral lists this ribosomal RNA (377 nucleotides) under uncultured eukaryote. RNAcentral describes it as "partial 18S ribosomal RNA". It matches the Rfam family "Eukaryotic small subunit ribosomal RNA", at positions 592 to 976 of the family's 1831-position model. The record is from RNAcentral.
CAAUAGCGUAUAUUUAAGUUGCUGCAGUUAAAAAGCUCGUAGUUGGAUUUCGGGUGGGAAUGGCCGGUCCGCCGUUUCGGUGUGCACUUGCUACGCCCACCUUGCUGCCGGGGACGUGCUCUUGAGUUCACGCUCGGGACACGGAGUCGGCGAGGUUACUUUGAGUAAAUUAGAGUGUUCAAAACAGGCCUACGCUCUGAAUACAUUAGCAUGGAAUAACACGAUAGGACUCUGGCCUAUCUUGUUGGUCUGUAGGACCGGAGUAAUGAUUAAGAGGGACAGUCGGGGGCAUUCGCAUUUCAUUGUCAGAGGUGAAAUUCUUGGAUUUAUGAAAGACGAACUACUACGAAAGCAUUUGCCAAGGAUGUUUUCAUUAA